GGCUGCUUUGGGAAGACAGUGAGACCCUUGCUUCUCGGGAUGUUCAGACAGAGCCUGGAUGUCCGGAUGUCAAGACAAAAGAAGGUCAAGAGGUCCACAGAUCUUCAGAUCUUCUGCCCCAUGUCCUUGAAACGAAAGGAUGUUUGGAUGUUACAUAAGUUUGGGGUCGCUCUGCUACCGGCUUUGCAGAUGGAUACUGCUGUGGAUAACAGGGAGGGUUUGAAUCAUUACAGCACUUAGGUAAGAGAAAUUAAAUAAUUAACUU
Molecule: long non-coding RNA, 265 nt
Filed under: Mustela putorius furo (domestic ferret)
Lineage: Eukaryota; Metazoa; Chordata; Mammalia; Carnivora; Mustelidae
Description: lncRNA (ENSMPUG00000031365.1)
Source: RNAcentral